ACUCCUACGGGAGGCAGCAGUGGGGAAUUUUGGACAAUGGGGGCAAGCCUGAUCCAGCCAUGCCGCGUGCAUGAAGAAGGCCUUCGGGUUGUAAACUGCUUUUGUACGGAACGAAAAGGUCCUGGCUAAUACCCGGGGCUGAUGACGGUACCGAAAGAAUAAGCACCGGCUAACUACGUGCCAGCAGCCGCGGUAAUACGUAGGGUGCGAGCGUUAAUCGGAAUUACUGGGCGUAAAGCGUGCGCAGGCGGUUGUGUAAGACAGGUGUGAAAUCCCCGGGCUUAACCUGGGAACUGCGCUUGUGACUGCACGGCUAGAGUACGGCAGAGGGGGGUGGAAUUCCACGUGUAGCAGUGAAAUGCGUAGAGAUGUGGAGGAACACCGAUGGCGAAGGCAGCCCCCUGGGCCGAUACUGACGCUCAUGCACGAAAGCGUGGGGAGCAAACAGGAUUAGAUACCCUGGUAGUC
This 468-nucleotide ribosomal RNA is filed under the name uncultured bacterium. Its description in RNAcentral is "bacterial SSU rRNA". It matches the Rfam family "Bacterial small subunit ribosomal RNA", at positions 335 to 795 of the family's 1533-position model. The record is from RNAcentral.